GCGAAAACUUUACAAUGCUGGCAACAGCGAUAAGGGAACCUCGAGUGCCGGGUUACAAAUCUGGCUGUCGAGAUGCCUAAAAAGCAUUUCAUAGCAAGGGCCGGGCAAGACCGGUGUCAGCCGCCGCGGUAACACCGGCGGCUCGAGUGGUAACCGUUAUUAUUGGGUCUAAAGGGUCUGUAGCCGGCCGGAUAAGUCUCUUGAGAAAUCUGGCAGCUUAACUGUCAGGCUUUCAGGAGAUACCGUCUGGCUCGAGGCCGGGAGAGGUGAGAGGUACCUCAGGGGUAGGGGUGAAAUCUUGUAAUCCUUGAAGGACCACCAGUGGCGAAGGCGUCUCACCAGAACGGACCUGACGGCAAGGGACGAAAGCUAGGGGCACGAACC
This 384-nucleotide ribosomal RNA is filed under the name uncultured prokaryote. RNAcentral describes it as "bacterial SSU rRNA". It matches the Rfam family "Archaeal small subunit ribosomal RNA", at positions 341 to 725 of the family's 1478-position model. The record is from RNAcentral.